AGGUUAGCAGGGGAAAUAGGCUGGAAUGAUUGUUAGGGAGUGGGGGGGUAUGUUUGGAGUGCCUGUGUUGGGUAGUCUACAGUUGCUCCCUAGGAGAAGGGUGUUCUGGCUGGAAAAGCUGGUGGGUAGGCAGUAGCUACAGCAAAGCAGGAAAGGAAUCCAGGGAAGUAGCAAUAAGAUCUUAGAGCAAGCAGACCAUAGCUGCUGGAUGUAAGGUCCCUGGACUGGAAACUGGAGUAGUGGAUGGGUCUGGGCUCCCCUACUGGCUGUUGGGAAAGUGGCACAGGCCUGUCCUGGAAGACUGUCUGGGGUGGGGCAUGAGAACAGUUGGUACAACAGGACUUGGAUACCCCAGCAGGGCAGGACAGUUCUGUGACCUGGCUGGAGGGGCUGAGUCACCAAGAGGAAGUACCCAGAGUCCCAGAGAGGCAGUGGGGCUGUGGUGAGCCCAUAAUGAUAGAAAGGGGGCUUUAGACUGGACAGAACUAAUCCCCAGUGCUGCUGUGUGUCCUGUGACAUGGUGCUAAAGGCACCCAAAUUCAGAUACCUGAAAGAACCCUGAUUUUGCAGAAAGUGCAGAGGAGCUACCCUCUGAAAAAAGGCUUCUCUAAGGUAUCUUCAGGUGUUCCCCUGCAGACAGCAUGUUUGCUCCCUGAGAGUAUCUGCUCCCUGCUGCACGUUCGCCAUCUGAAGUCAAAACCCUGUUUGCGAUGGCCAAACCAAUUCCAUUGGCUUAUGGAGUCCCUUGGGGAUUUGUGGGUGAGAGGAGGAUAUAGCCCAAGGACAUGAGGCUGUCAGAGCAGGGAAGUAUCUGAAACAUGCAUGUUAUAGGGUCUCCUUAUCCCAACUCCACAGCUGCAAUUAAAAUAGCUAGAGAAAUAAUUGUUGCCUUUUGCUCAAACUCCUCCUUGCAUAGACUCAUGGAAGGGUUGUUUCUCUUCAUGCUGCAGACAUCAGUGGUGUGCUUGUCUUUCUUGCUUGGCUAAACAGCAGAAAUAACAUGCAGAGAUGUUAAAAGUGGCUCCUUGGUAUAUUUUGCCUGAGGUCAGUGCAAGUUCCUUUUAUUGGAGAAGCUUCCCCAAGGCCCUACCGUUAAAGCAUUUACCCAUUCUUCAUUGAGUCUGUUUCCAUGUAACUGAUUAUCCUGGCUGCGUAAGUGCUCAGUUAAAGCAUCUGUCCCAUCUGUGAUGGGACAAAAGGCUCCCAACAGUC
Molecule: long non-coding RNA, 1212 nt
Organism: Chelonia mydas (Green sea turtle)
Lineage: Eukaryota; Metazoa; Chordata; Testudines; Cheloniidae
Exons: 3
Source: RefSeq, a predicted model, not a curated record